GCGUGAUUCAUUACGCCAAUGGCGGCGAGCUUUACACCACUCCAGCCGACGCUUGGCAUUGCGCAUUGUGAUCUUAGGCUUGUAUGCGGCUGCUCGCCCAUGAAACCCAUUUCAUGAAGCUCCCGACGAAACAGUUUUUGUGCUGACAUUGAUUCCAGAGGCAGUUUGGAACUCGGUAGUUAUUGUUACAACCAAGGACAGACAAUUUUUACGCUCUACAUGCUUCAGCACUCAAGGGUCCCGUUCCUUGAGCUUGUAUGGCCUACCACUUCGCAGCUGAGCCAUUGUUGCUCCUAGACGAUUCCACUUCACAAUAACAGCGCUUACAGUUGACGGGGGCAGCUCUAGCAUGGCAGAAAUUUGACGAACUAACCUGUUGGAAAGGUGGUAUCUUGUGACGGUGCCACAAUGAAAGUCACUGAGCUCUUCAGUAAGGCCAUUCUACUGCCAAUGUUUGUUUAUGGAGAUUGCAUGGCUGUGUCCUUAGACACCCGUCACCAACGUGUGUGCCUGAAAUAGCUGAAUCCACUAAUUUCAAGGUGUGUCCGCAUACUUUUUUAUAUAUAGUGCAUGUUGUUAAGCAGGUUUGUAGCUGGGAAUCCACUAAACAAACAUUCCUCUUUUCCUCCUGAUACAGAUUAUAUGAUCAGGUUGUAUUUGCUAAAUUAUUUUGGAACAAUGCUUUGAAACAAAGUCCAGUAUUCGAAUACAUUUUUUGAUUUACUAUCCACUGUCUGUUAUGGAUUAAAAACCCGGUCAAUAACCUCAAAGAUCCAUUAAACCAUCAAAACAGACAGUCCAUUGUGUUCAUUUCAUAGCGGUACUUCUGGACCGAGCCUCGCGAGAGUUUGGUGUCAGAAACUUUUGAAGACUGGGAUUACUUCAUUACCUUUACUAACCACAAGAGGGCAAUAUGUUCUUUAUUUUUUAUUUUUUAUGUACCACACUUAUUUAUUGAAGUCCUGUAUAUAGGCUGGGCAGAGUUGAUUGAACCGAUGUUAAUGAUUGGGUAUGACUUUAGAUUUUAGGAUGAAUAUAGAUGGUCAGUAAUAGGUAUUGAUUGUGCAGUUAUAGUUUACUGGACUGUUCUCCUUAUAUCUGGUUGAAGCACAUGAGCAAUCAGAGCAGGGAUGUAACUAUACCUGCCCCAGUACCCGUGCGUUAGAGAUGACGACGAUACCUCUAACGCACAGAUACUAGUGUACCUGCGAUCUUAUUCAAAAACUCUCAUGAUCUUAUAGGACGAUAGUUCCAGCUCAACUGCGACAUUAUGAGGUCAAAAGUGAUGACCUCACCCUCAUAUAUAUUAGACUCACAGCCUCUUGAGGACCCUAUCAAUAAUGCUGAUGACAUGCAGGAUGAAGUCAGAUAUGAAAAAGAUCAGCCUGAUACUGGGAGCCUGGCCCAGUUCUUUGCUGAUCAAGAAAUAGCCAGCCCAACUCAGUCAAUAGCGGCUGAACCGGAGGCAGAGAUGCAGGAGGCUGAUCUGAAGUCAGCUGAACCAACCCAGUCACUCGAGGCUGAAAUAGAGAGUGGGAUGCAGGCUGAUCUAGAGACACCCGGCCCAUCCCAUGUACAGGAGCCACACCAGACUUCUCUACUCAACUCUGGAGACCUGAAACUGGAGGAUACUGAUGUGACCUUCACCACCAUGCCCACGGCCCCCCAGGCUGCAACGUCCCAGAACAGCCUUGUCAGGCUGCAAAGAAGCUCCCCAGACCUCUCCACCUUUGUGCAGGACAUGACUGACAACCACUGGAAUCUGUUGAGUGAGAAUAUGCGUGCCAAGUUAACUAGAGAUGAGUUUACUGCCAAGUGCAUGGACAUUGUCACAUGGGUGAAGAAGAUCAAAUCGACAGUUGUGGUUCCCGCCCUUGACCUCACCAUGCAGAUAGAGCUGACUGAGUUGCCAGGCUCUCCUGGAUCAGGAAGUGAGGAGGCAGUAACUUCUCUCUCCCGCACUGUGAGAUUAAGUUGUACUCAAGGCCCCAGCAGGAACACCAGUUCUAAAACUUCCUGGAGCACACCGACACCCACACCUUUCCCCUCCAGUCACAGGUCCAUGACCUCUUUGCUGAGUGAAGAGGAUGAUAAAGACUUGAUCCCUGGAGAGGUCACAUAUCGCUCAACACCUGAGGGGGGCAAUAGAGAGAUGAGGGACAGACCCUGCUCAGAGCCACUCAGGUCUGUGUUUGGCCUGUCUCAGAGCUGUAUUUUCAAUCAAAUGGUCCACAGUGGAGCAUGCAGGUCGCUAAGUGAGAUUGUACUGCCAUCCAGCCGGAGUAGGCAGAGGAAGCUCAUGCCCAUCAUCGUCUCCACAGACACCAGAUUGGUAAUGGAAAUUGUGGAGAUGGUGAUGAAAGUCAUCAACUCCAGGCUAGCUCAGCUAAUGCUAAAUGUGGGUUGUAGUCAGGGAACUGAAGGUCAUGGCAGCAACUCAGCAAGCAUUCAGUUUGCUCAAGAAAUGCUGAGCAUGGCAACUGCAUCAAUGUAUGCCCACGCAAUGGAGCAUAUUGCGCACGGCUGCAAGUCCAGCAGUCGCCAGUCCAACAAGUCUCCACUUGAAUUAGCGGGGGAGAUGGAAGCCAUAUUGGGUCCUCUGGCUGGACAGGUAAUAGUCACCGUCAUCAAUAGUAUCCUCAGGACUAAAGACAACGGAAGAACUGAGCAGGAACGGACCACCCCUUUGAGUUACUUCCUUACUGCAGUUUCUGCUGAAAUUCAAAGCAUGGUAGUUCAAAGAUCUGCAAGUAGACAGUCCUCCAGGCAGUCCAUCAGUGACCACUUGAUGAAUAUCUCCAAGGGCAAGAUCGUGAAAGCCGUUCAAAUUAAAAUGUCACAACUCUAUGGCGAGUCUACCAAUGAAAGCUGCAUAUCAGCAACUCCAACAAUCCAGAGCCUGUCCAAGUGCUCAUCCAAAGAAUCCCUUUGUGAUUGGACUCUCACCUCAGAUGACGUGCAUCCAGCUAAGUUCCUGUCUAGCAACAGAAUUACAGCGUUGUCGACUGAUGUUGUGGAUGUUGUGUUUGGUGAUGUUUUUUAUAAUCUUGGACUUUCGGACAGCCAAACACAUUUAAGGCCACAGUGCACCGGCUCCAGCUCAUCAAUAGACAUCAGCGGUGUUGCUGGGGAGAUGGUCAGACAAGUCUCUGUAAAACUCCAGUCCUUUGCGUCCGAGAGCAGUCUGGAGGCCAUGUCCAUGACUCACGACUCACCAUCUUUGUCCAUCUCAGACUCUGACUUGAAGUUCUUGUGCUCUCACUCAGCGGUUGCUGUAGCAACUGCCUGCCAAGCAAUUAAAACUGAGCUUGAGAUUGAGAUGAGUCUCAACCCAGCCACAGAGGCCGGCUCCCAGGGUAACCUUGCUGCCAGAGACCUGGUAUCUUCUCUGUCACAGAGUCUUGAGGAUAUAGAUGUUUCUCAUAUCAUUCAGGGCCUUAAGGAGGCAGAUGUGACAUUUGCCAAUCUGAACAAAACCCCUUCGACCGACACUAAUAGAUUAGAGGAAAUCUUAUCUGCCCAUAUUUCCCCUGAAAGUAUUGCAGCGGCAUCGGUUGAUCUUUUUGAUGGCGUAUUAGGAGACUUGCAUGAGGCAUUUGAGGCAAAUAAGGUCUCAGCAGCCACAAAAUCUGGUCGCAAAAAGUUCUGGGUUGAAGUACAUACAAGUUCACAAAACCUGUACACCAAUGCGCUGGACAAACUAAAUAAGUGGUUCAGUUUACACCAUCUCACUAAUGAAAAAGAUGUUCCUCUGAAUACCAAGCUCUCUGCAACUGGACCACUCCUAACUGAGGCCUGUGUGGAGGUAUCUCCUGUGCAAAAGACCAGUAUUAACAGCUCUGGUAUGUCCUUCAGGUCUCUGAGUGAUAUCUCAGACAACCAGCUAACCCUCAACACAUGCACUAAAGAGGUAAUCAAACAGGUGGCCUCAGUUCUGAAGUUUGAGGCUUCUAAGGAAGACUGUUCUUCUUCCGUUGGAGGGAGGACAUUAAAUGUGUUCUUGGAGUUCAGCCAGAAGUUGGAUGCUCUCAUCUCAAAGUUGGAGGACCUCCCCAUUUCAGGUGAGAUUUCCUCGCUCACACAGCCACAAAGUGCAGUCAGCAGCAGCAGAACCUCUAAUAUUUCCAUCAGGAGUAUCCUAAGUGUGGAGUUCUACACAAAGGCCAACCAGAUCGUGAGUGAGGCUAUCCUUGGAGCUGCAAUUGUUUUCUAUGCUCGCAAAGCCAACCAUUUGGAGCUGAAUAUGCCUGCUACCUAUUCACAACAUCUGUUUGCAGCCACCUCAGACAUUGUGAACAUUAUUGUGGAAGACCUAGAGAGAGAGACCAUGGAUACAGAGUCCCACCUCAUACCUAAAAUAGUUUUUGACAAGUUCCUGGAUGCGGCUCACAACAUCUACUACCAAGUGCGGGAUAGGCUGAAGGUCUUCUUCUCCAUGUCCUCAGUGCCUGCCUCCAAAACCAAAGAUGUGGUGGAUUCCAUGCCUGUGGAGAAACAUGGAUACUUUGAGGCCUCUGACACUGCUCAUGACCCGGAGCGACCUCAAUCUGUCAGGAGUGAGAAGUUGUUGACAAAAGACAGUUUAGCCAAGAUAGAAAGGUCUAAAUCCCUUGCGUCUCGGGGUGGCACAUCAACAGAAAAUCAAGACUUUGACACCUUCACAUUGACACCCACCAAGAGCAUGUCAGUGUUGAGUGAUCACAGUUUGAGAGGAGAUUUUUCUCUCUUGAGUGAAAGUUGCCAACCACUUUUGGCUCUCCAAGACUCAACAGUGGCAGUCACUAAGCAUAGCUUCACCAAGUCUGCUAAGACCACCCUCAGCCAGAUCCUAAAUGUGAUCAAGUGCAGAGUGGCUGCCUCAGAUAAUUCAUCUGUUGGACAGAAGACAACUGACAUGUUGGACUCUCUUCUUGAGAGCCUUGACCAGUUGACUGCAGAUGAGAUAAAGGGGACAGCGUCCCACAGCUUGAUCACAGUAGAUGUGCCAGAGUCACUAUCUAAGCAAUCCUUGACAAAAUACUUUUCUACUCAUGAGAGGAACCAGGAUUCUUCCCCUGCAAAGCUUGUGUGUCAACCAUCAUGCCUGAUACCAACAUCCAUGUCUGACACCAACAUUAUAGUGCAAACUAUAAUGGAAACGCUGGUGAAGGACGAAUCAAAGAAGACUUCAGCAGAGGAAAACCUUGAGAGGCUCGUCUCCAUUGAAACCAUUCAAGGUGUGUCAGACGACCUCAUCACAAAGGUCCAUGGUCUCAUUCAGGAGAUCACAAUAAGCCGGCAACUUCAAUCCAUGGCUGGCCACAGGAGCUUCUCUGAACCGGCAUUGCCAAAGCCAGCCCUAAAAAAGCUGUCAAGGAAUGAUGCCUCUGAGCUCGCCUACAGCUUUGCCGAAAAUUCUGUUAGGACUCUCCUGGGGCAGUGCUUAGAUGUGUCGUCCUUUUCCACUGGAGUAAGGCAGACGAUGGAUCAGGUCACUAAGAUAAUGACUAACACAGUGAUGGACACCCUGACUGAUGAGUCCAAGCCCACAGUGAAGUCAGAGGAUGAAUUAGUUUCCAGGUUAGUCCAACCAGAUGAAUUCCCCACGAGGAGCCUUAACCCAUCUGAUGGCAACGCUGAUGUGAUGCCUCGCUCUGCUGGAGGUGAAAAGAAUAGCAAGAAGUGGCGUUUCCUUUUCAAAAUGCCUAGCAUCCCGAAGAUCAGGAUCAAGGUGUUCAAGAGAAAAGGACAAUCCAAGAAGCACCCUGAACUGGAAGCGCUGCCAACAAAACGUUUCAGUGAUAUGUCACUGAAGGUUCCUUCCGCCUUCCCACCCAUGGAGGACCUGAUACCUGCACCUACUGCACAGAAUCCCCAAUCCCGUAAACGCCCCUUUGUGGUUAGGGUGUUUCGGGCCCUCUCUCGAGCCAUCACCAGUGCCUUCAGAGGAGCUUCAGGGAAGAAGCACUAGCAGGACUCAGGGCUCCAGCAGGAGGGCUUAUGGAUAUCUGAUAUGCCAUUUGACUGGAGGCAUGCUGCAGUAUGCGGCACAGGGAGAAGAAAACAUGCAGAAACGUACUCAUGUGGCAAGGUCUAGUAAAGAUUGGAAGG
RNAcentral lists this long non-coding RNA (6090 nucleotides) under Salmo salar (Atlantic salmon). RNAcentral's name for it is "lncRNA (ENSSSAG00000086812.1, ENSSSAG00000100632.1)". The record is from RNAcentral. Lineage: Eukaryota; Metazoa; Chordata; Actinopteri; Salmoniformes; Salmonidae.